GAUGAAGAACGUAGCGAAAUGCGAUAAGUAAUGUGAAUUGCAGAAUUCAGUGAAUCAUCGAAUCUUUGAACGCACAUUGCGUCCGCCAGUAUUCUGGCGGGCAUGCCUGUUCGAGCGUCAUUUCAACCAUCAAGCCCCCGGCUUGUGUUGGGGACCUGCGGCUGCCGCAGGCCCUGAAAAGCAGUGGCGGGCUCGCUGUCACACCGAGCGUAGUAGCAUACAUCUCGCUCUGGGCGUGCUGCGGGUUCCGGCCGUUAAACCACCUUCAUAACCCAAGGUUGACCUCGGAUCAGGUAGGAAGACCCGCUGAACUUAAGCAUAUCAAUAAGCGGAGGA
This 336-nucleotide unclassified non-coding RNA is filed under the name soil metagenome. RNAcentral's name for it is "partial contains 5.8S ribosomal RNA, internal transcribed spacer 2, and large subunit ribosomal RNA". The stretch from base 1 to 120 matches the Rfam family "5.8S ribosomal RNA", at positions 35 to 154 of the family's 154-position model. The record is from RNAcentral.